RNAcentral lists this ribosomal RNA (498 nucleotides) under uncultured bacterium. RNAcentral describes it as "partial 16S ribosomal RNA". It matches the Rfam family "Bacterial small subunit ribosomal RNA", at positions 28 to 523 of the family's 1533-position model. The record is from RNAcentral.
GAUGAACGCUAGCGGCAGGCCUAAUACAUGCAAGUCGGACGGGAUUUGGGAGCUUGCUCCUAAUGAGAGUGGCGCACGGGUGCGUAACACGUAUGUAACCUACCUUAAUCAGGGGGAUAGCCUCUCGAAAGAGAGAUUAACACCGCAUAAUAUAUUUUUAUGGCAUCGUAGAAAUAUCAAAUAUUUAUAGGAUUAAGAUGGGCAUGCGGAACAUUAGCUAGUUGGUAAGGUAACGGCUUACCAAGGCUACGAUGUGUAGGGGAUCUGAGAGGAGGACCACCCACACGGGGACUGAGACACUGACCAGAAUCCUACGGGAGGCAGCAGUAAGCAAUAGUGGCCAAGGUGCGCAAGCCUGAACAAGCCAUGCCGAGUGCAGGAAGACGGCCCUAUGGGUUGUAAACUGCUUUUGUACCGGAAUAAACCCUUUUACGUGUAAGAGGCUGAAUGUACGGUAAGAAUAAGGAUCGGCUAACUCCGUGCCAGCAGCCGCAGUAA